Molecule: long non-coding RNA, 429 nt
Filed under: Numida meleagris (helmeted guineafowl)
Lineage: Eukaryota; Metazoa; Chordata; Aves; Galliformes; Numididae
Description: lncRNA (ENSNMEG00000017192.1)
Source: RNAcentral
CACUUUGUUACUGCAGCUGUAUUUACUCUUACACCUUUAGGGAUUUAAUUGCAUCCAUCCCCAGUCUUUCAGCUGAGUGAAACACGGCAUUUCUCAGUGCGUUCCUCUGCCUCCACUGAAAAGGUCUCUCCAGCUCUGCCAGUGGGGAGAGCAAUUUGUCACUGUUUGGCCCAGCACCGCUCUUCAGGAAGCUCUUUGGUGUGAGCCAAAAUGUGGAGUUGCAGACCCAUCCAUCAGGACAAGCUGUUGGGUAAGUUGUUGUCUUCCAAAUGGAGUUCAUAAUGGGCAAAGAGGUUUAAUUAAUGCUUCAGAGUAAUGCGUCUGUUUAUAAAGAAAUAAUGUACUAUAAAAUUAGGCAAUGCGUAGUGAAAUGUACCUCCUAAUGGCUAGGCUGGCAUUUUAAGUGAUCAGUAAAUCACUUAAAUAUUA